Molecule: non-coding RNA, 30 nt
Filed under: Homo sapiens (human)
Lineage: Eukaryota; Metazoa; Chordata; Mammalia; Primates; Hominidae
Source: RNAcentral
UAUUGUUUCUUAGUGUCCGCUGAUGUUAAA